This 305-nucleotide ribosomal RNA is filed under the name uncultured bacterium. RNAcentral describes it as "bacterial SSU rRNA". It matches the Rfam family "Bacterial small subunit ribosomal RNA", at positions 333 to 636 of the family's 1533-position model. The record is from RNAcentral.
UUUGACCUACGGGACGCAGCAGUGAGGAAUAUUGGUCAAUGGGCGCGAGCCUGAACCAGCCAAGUCGCGUGAGGGAAGACGGUCCUAUGGAUUGUAAACCUCUUUUGUCGGGGAGCAAAAGACGCCACGCGUGGCGUUCCGAGAGUACCCGAAGAAAAAGCAUCGGCUCACUCCGUGCCAGCAGCCGCGGUAAUACGGAGGAUGCGUGCGCUAUCCGGAUUUAUUGGGUUUAAAGGGUGCGCAGGCGGACGAUCAAGUCAGCGGUAAAAUUGACAGGCUCAACCUCUUCGAGCCGCUGAAACUGG